GUUAAAUUCCACCGUUACAGCUGAGGAUGACGUGUGGGCCCAGGGCAGCAGAGGCCCAGGUAGAGCUAAGGAACUCCACCGCGGGUUGCAAAAGUGACCGGCGCAAGCGGCCACCGCCCGUUCGCGUCUGGCGGGAGCGAAUGUGCGGCCGGCAGUGGGCUGCGCGGGAGGGGAUUUGCGGCGGGGGCGGCGAGCUGCAGGCCGGGGCGACGGGUUGCGCGGGAGGGGAUUUGAGGCAGGGGCGGUGAGCUGCGGGGCCGAGGGCAGCAGCCGCGCGGAUGCAGGCGGCGCAGGGGAUGGCACCCAAUCCGUCGCCACCAUCGUCGACGCGGACCCCGCGGCGUCCUUCGCGUUGUUGUUGCCGGUGAGCCGCACGAACACCACCGGCGCCGGGAGCUUGCGGGCGUUGCCCUCGCUGAGCCGGCGCGCAGCUCGGAGUAGGACGAGAGCUACGCGCUCUGCUCCGCCUAGCCUGAGCGCCUUCGCUCCCGCCGCUUCGGCGUCUUCCGCAUCGGUGGUUUCGUCGGCCCGGACGUUGACGAGGAAGCGCCGAUGCCCGUGCCGUGCAUAUAUAUCUAACCGUACCCUGAAAGAUCUUUGACGAAGGCGCAGUCCAUGGCUUCGACUUCGAGGAUGAGCUGCACCUCCAUGCCGUCGCCGUGCGUAUGCACAGCUCCGGCAGGAACUGCCGCUUUCUGGUCGAGCCGAGGCCGACCAUCAGUGGCUUCAAUUUUGGAGGAGCCCCUGGCAGUUCCCGCUGGAGCGGUCAUGGAAGUCUGAUGCGGGCCGCGAGGCCAGAAGCCCAGAACUUUGAGUCAGAUAGGCACGUCGUACAGAUAGGCGGUGGAAUCUAACGGAGACUAACGUCGGUGGCACAUAAGGGAUGAAAAAUCAAAAUUUGAUGGCAACGAAAGGACCACUUUGGAUGGCAUAGAAGGUAUGAUUAUAAGUUUUGAUGGUAUAGAGGGAAUUUUCUCUUCAUUCAAAGCAAUGGGGGAAUAUGUGCACCGCUUUUUUAGCUUCGCAGGGAGGGAGGUAUUUCCUUGGAAGGUUGCUUUUUUCGCACACCCACCCCACCCACCCGCCGAUCAUAGGGUCGAGCCGUCGACAUACAACAGUAACAUGGCGGCGACUGGAAGAGGACCGCAUGGUCUCGGUCUUGUGCCUUUUAUUCCUUUUUGCUUUUGUUUGUUGUGACAUCUUCUGAUUAUCAAGGCUCCAUCGAUGAUGAGUUUUUUUUCUUUCUAAAUGAGAGUUAUUAGAGAGCAAAUGUUUGGGAAUGCACGUGGUGGCAUGUGGGUAAACAUGGCAUUGCCCCUCAUGAAGUGACAAACAGAUUCACCUUCUUGACUCAA
Long non-coding RNA from Setaria italica (foxtail millet), 1355 nucleotides. RefSeq lists it as uncharacterized. Lineage: Eukaryota; Viridiplantae; Streptophyta; Magnoliopsida; Poales; Poaceae. The transcript has 2 exons. The record is from RefSeq and is a predicted model, not a curated record.